GGGUGCGUAGGUGGUAAGGUAAGUCGGAUGUGAAAUCUCCGAGCUCAACUCGGAAAAUGCAUUGGAAACUACCUUGCUUGAGGGUUGGAGGGGGGACUGGAAUACUUGGUGUAGCAGUGAAAUGCGUAGAUAUCAAGUGGAACACCAGUGGCGAAGGCGAGUCCCUGGACAACUCCUGACACUGAGGCACGAAAGCUAGGGGAGCAAACAGGAUUAGAUACCCUGGUAGUCCUAGCCGUAAACGGUGCACGUUUGCUGUAAAAGGAAUCGACCCCUCUUGUGGCGUAGCUAACGCGUUAAACGUGCCGCCUGGGAAGUACGGUCGCAAGAUUAAAACUCAAAGAAAUUGACGGGGGCCUGCACAAGCGGUGGAGUAUGUGGCUCAAUUCGAUGCAACGCGAAGAACCUUACCUGGCCUUGACAUGCAUAUAGUAGAAGGGUGAAAGCCUGACGAGGUAGCAAUACCAGUAUGCACAGGUGCUGCAUGGCUGUCGUCAGCUCGUGUCGUGAGAUGUUGGGUUAAGUCCCGCAACGAGCGCAACCCCUGUGUCCUGUUGCCACCCGGCCGAGAGGCUGGAGCACUCUGGACAGACUGCCUCGCUUAUACGAGGAGGAAGGUGGGGAUGACGUCAAGUCAGUAUGGCCCUUACGGCCAGGGCUGCACACGUACUACAAUGCCCGGCACAAAGGGAAGCGAUACCGCAAGGUGGAGCUAAUCCCCAAAAACCGGGCCCAGUUCAGAUUGUCGUCUGCAACUCGACGGCAUGAAGCAGGAAUCGCUAGUAAUGGCGCAUCAGCUACGGCGCCGUGAAUACGUUCCCAGGCCUUGUACACACCGCCCGUCACAUCAUGAAAGCCGUUUGUACCCGAAGUCGCCGUGCCAACCGCAAGGGGGCAGG
This 899-nucleotide ribosomal RNA is filed under the name uncultured bacterium. Its description in RNAcentral is "bacterial SSU rRNA". It matches the Rfam family "Bacterial small subunit ribosomal RNA", at positions 565 to 1453 of the family's 1533-position model. The record is from RNAcentral.